RNAcentral lists this ribosomal RNA (1556 nucleotides) under Triticum aestivum (bread wheat). RNAcentral's name for it is "partial small subunit ribosomal RNA". Lineage: Eukaryota; Viridiplantae; Streptophyta; Magnoliopsida; Poales; Poaceae. The record is from RNAcentral.
GUACACCGUGAAGUCACCUCUUCUACUGCGGUGGGCGACGCCAGCAUUUCCAGGCCUGAGGCGGUGGCGAGUCAGCUCUUAUAACAGGCUAAACAUGUUUCUUCUUCUUCUCCUCAAGGAGGCGUAAUUCCACGCCCUACCUAAAAGAUACAUGUUGGGGGUUCGAUCCUUGAUUUUUUCCGGCACUUUCUCAAGUUGUCGGGUAGAGACGUCGGUCUCAUAGGACCGGCCCGAGAGCCGGGGCCUGAACUUCUUCUAGGCCUAUAUAGACACCUCGAGCAGCUGCUCUGUAAGAUGGUUCGUUCGACACUGCCGUGGAACCACCGGUAGUAGUGCCUAAUAGGGCCCGACGAGGGACACAGCUUAUUUGCCGGUAGUCUUGUGGCGUGACUCGGGCUCCCCCGAGUAGUCGUCUCCCGUGGGCCCGGCCCGUCCGAAUUCUCCUUCCGCCAAUCCUAACUCUACGGCCGCGUUUCUUUCUCAUCAGCGGCCUGAUAUAGGCCUCUGGGACGGCCGGUGUGGAGUCGGUCGGCCUAAGGUCUUGGCCUGAGUGCCCACCUUCGACUACACCCCUGUUGUGGCUUAACAGGAGGAUGUCUCCUACGCCUGUCCAAGAGGCGAUACUUAAGGCUGCGGCUGCCCGGUAUGAGACGUAGCCAUAAAAAAAGUUUCUCCGCAAGUUACGGAAGUUGAGUCCUCUGCGUAUGUAGGCGUGACGAGUUCUACCUGAACGGUCUCGCUACCUGGUCAUACGUUUGCUAUAUGCCCAAGAACAUAUCUUCUUAUGGGUAAAUAGAGUUCUCGACCUCCUUACGUUCUGGGUCGAUUUCCGGCGUCAACGGUUUGAUCUCCUUAGGGUUUUCCGGAGGAGACAGUUAGGGCCUCUCUUAGGUUUCUAGCAUUUUCUAUUACACAGUGUAGAUUCUUCAGUCGAUUUCCGCCCUCUCGCACACGAAUGCGUCCAAUAAGUUCUCUUUUUGUUAGAGGUUCUACGGUUGUAGGCCGACUCGCAGCUUAAUCGUCUACAAGCUCGAAUCGAGCGACUGAGGUACUUCCUCUUGUCCUCCGAAGCCGCGCCGUAAAUAUCAUACGAGUGUCCGGCAGGACUUCUCCUCUACGGGCCUAGGUGUCCACUAAACGACGUUCUAGAGAGUGUUGAAGUGCUUGCUCGAGCUGUCCACUACGUCCCAUAACGGGUCCGGAACACGGGUAGGCGAAGUGACGGUCCUCCGUACCCCCUCGAACACCUAUACGAGUUUCCUCGUGCCGCCGCGAAGGCCAAUACCUUCCAUAGUCGGACGGUUGUUCCACGUUCCCUUCGGACCCGGUACCACUUCCGCGUUAUGCGGUUCCGACUGGGUUUGGUAUACCGGCUUCGACCUGGCCACCCCGGUCUACCCUUUCUCUAAGGGCAUUCAGACCACAUACUGGUUCAUCGUAAUCGGAGUUACAUAAGGGUUGUCCUAACAUCCUAUCUGUCGGACAACCUACCAUAUCUUCUUCUUAAAUCGGUCAGGUUCUCUGAUACAUGAAAUUACCUGCAUACAUCAGGGAUC